RNAcentral lists this ribosomal RNA (253 nucleotides) under uncultured bacterium. Its description in RNAcentral is "partial 16S ribosomal RNA". It matches the Rfam family "Bacterial small subunit ribosomal RNA", at positions 524 to 776 of the family's 1533-position model. The record is from RNAcentral.
UACAGAGGUCUCAAGCGUUGUUCGGAUUCAUUGGGCGUAAAGGGUGCGUAGGCGGCGCGGUAAGUCGGGUGUGAAAUCUCGGAGCUUAACUCCGAAACUGCAUUCGAUACUGCCGUGCUUGAGGACUGGAGAGGAGACUGGAAUUUACGGUGUAGUGGUGAAAUGCGUAGAUAUCGGGAGGAACACCAGUGGCGAAGGCGACUACCUGGCCCAUUCUUGACGCUGAGGCGCGAAAGCUAGGGGAGCGAACGGG